RNAcentral lists this long non-coding RNA (1013 nucleotides) under Sinocyclocheilus anshuiensis. RNAcentral describes it as "lncRNA (ENSSANG00000044901.1)". The record is from RNAcentral. Lineage: Eukaryota; Metazoa; Chordata; Actinopteri; Cypriniformes; Cyprinidae.
AUAUGGCGUAAGAUGGCGGCACUUUGUGGCGUGCAGCUACUUCUUAAAAUGAUCAACGUGUUAAUAACAAACUAAGUUAAAUUGAUAUUGUAAAAUUCACGAGACAAAAGCGAUCAAACAAAAAUGCCACCGAAGAAAAUCAGCAGCGUGGUUGAGGAGGAGUUGGAGGAGAUUAGGAAAUCGCUAAACUUCAUGUCGGACGAGUUAAGCAAAGUUGUUAAACAACAAACUAUGCUACUUGAUCUAAUGGAUGAAGUCAAACAACUGAAGAAUCUUGUGAAAGAGAAGGAUAAGAAAAUUGAAGGAAUGGAGAGAAGGAUUGACGAGUUGGAGCAAUAUACAAGAAUGGAGGAUUUAAUUAUAAGUGGACUGGAAACUAAACACCGGACGUAUGCCAGUACAGUGGCCAGAGUCAGAGACGGUGAAGACGCCCGACCUGAUGAACUACUAACCCUGGAAAAGCAAGUAAUCAAGUUCCUUGAAAGUAAGAAUAUGAUCAUUCAGAGUGAUAAUGUUGUGGCCUGUCAUACCCUCCAACGAAGGAUUGACGGAGCGAAGCCUGCAAUAGUUGUUCGGUUUGUGAAUCGGAAGCAUAAAGCCGAGUUACUGAGGCAGGCCAAGAAGUUGAAGGGUACGGGGGUGUACCUGAAUGAACAUCUUACAAAAAAGAAUGCUGAUAUUGCUAGAUGUGCACGCAUUCUGAAGAAACAGAAUAAGAUACAAGCUACAUGGACAAGAAAUUGCAAAGUAAUGAUACGACUAAAUGGAACACCUGAAGAAGCCAAAGUAUAUGUAAUAAGAGAACUUAAAGAACUUGAUCAGUAUGGUUAAGUGAAGACUGUUACGGUAUAAUGGAUUAUCUAAAGAAGCUAAAUAACACACUGAAAGAGAUCGUUAAGAAUUGGAUCACUAUGGAUAAGGGAAGAUCGUGUGGAGGAAGAUUUAUAUGGACUUAUCGAUAUGAUGGACAUUGAUAAGGAAUUUUUGUUUCCAUUUAGUGAGGUUGAUGAUGG